RNAcentral lists this ribosomal RNA (448 nucleotides) under uncultured bacterium. RNAcentral describes it as "bacterial SSU rRNA". It matches the Rfam family "Bacterial small subunit ribosomal RNA", at positions 355 to 796 of the family's 1533-position model. The record is from RNAcentral.
UGGGGAAUAUUGGACAAUGGGCGAAAGCCUGAUCCAGCAAUGCCGCGUGUGUGAAGAAGGCCUUCGGGUUGUAAAGCACUUUCAGUGGGAAAGAAAAAAUUAAAGCUAAUACCUUUAGUCUUGACGUUACCCAAAGAAGAAGCACCGGCUAACUCUGUGCCAGCAGCCGCGGUAAUACAGAGGGUGCAAGCGUUAAUCGGAAUUACUGGGCGUAAAGCGCGCGUAGGUGGAUAUUUAAGUCGGAUGUGAAAGCCCUGGGCUUAACCUAGGAACUGCAUUCGAUACUGGAUAUCUAGAGUAUGGUAGAGGGAAGUGGAAUUUCCGGUGUAGCGGUGAAAUGCGUAGAUAUCGGAAGGAACACCAGUGGCGAAGGCGGCUUCCUGGACCAAUACUGACACUGAGGCGCGAAAGCGUGGGGAGCAAACAGGAUUAGAUACCCCGGUAGUCC